GAGGAAGACACCUGGCAUCCUGUUCUGCCCUCUGCACCCAUGUGUGCCACACACAGUGUCCCCCAUCCUCCCAUGACAUACUUUUUUGAAAGGAAUUUUCUCUCUUCCCAGCUCUGGAAGAGAGACUGUAUUGGAGCUUCCAGGAGAGUAGAAACUGUACUGUGUGUCUGUGUCACUGUUUGUUCAUCACCAGGGGCUGGAAUAGAAGCAUAGCGUGAAAGUUCCGAAGUGACAAAUGUUCCAGAAGAAUGUUUUUUUUUCUCCUUUUGGAUCUUUAAAACUGUGAGGAAAAAAAAUGAAGAACUUGAAUCAGUUGUUGUUUGUCAUGCAUUGAGCACUGCUGGGAAGCAGAGGUGGCAAAGCUGAGAAAACCCGUUUCUCUCCCACUGCUUUCUAGACACAUGGUUAUGGUGGAUUUCUAAGAAGGAGGUUGACAAUGCCGAACUUCGAGUGGCCCAGAAAGGACCAACGAGCCUUCUUAUCUUGAUGUCCUGACUGACAACAUGGCUUUUAUUUCUUCUACUUUGAUGUGUACACAGAACAGUGACAUGCUAUGUUUAUGUGAAUGGAACCCUCUACUUGCGCAGAAUAUUUCAAUUCAUACGUUGCUAGUUUAAAAAAAAUCGUUAUAAAACGAGAACAUGAGAAAACUGCUAAGUCGUUGGGAUUUUUCCCAUGAUGCCCUCUUUCCUGAUGGCACCACAAAGGGGCAUAAAGCCUCUUCUCCAACCUCUGACCACAGCUUACUGAA
Molecule: long non-coding RNA, 751 nt
Organism: Rattus norvegicus (Norway rat)
Lineage: Eukaryota; Metazoa; Chordata; Mammalia; Rodentia; Muridae
Exons: 3
Source: RefSeq, marked validated